GUGGGGAAUCUUGCGCAAUGGGCGAAAGCCUGACGCAGCCAUGCCGCGUGAAUGAUGAAGGUCUUAGGAUUGUAAAAUUCUUUCACCGGGGACGAUAAUGACGGUACCCGGAGAAGAAGCUCCGGCUAACUUCGUGCCAGCAGCCGCGGUAAUACGAAGGGGGCUAGCGUUGCUCGGAAUUACUGGGCGUAAAGGGCGCGUAGGCGGACAGCUUAGUCAGAGGUGAAAGCCCAGGGCUCAACCUUGGAAUUGCCUUCAAAACUCCUGGUCUGGAGUUCGAGAGAGGUGAGUGGAAUUCCGAGUGUAGAGGUGAAAUUCGUAGAUAUUCGGAGGAACACCAGUGGCGAAGGCGGCUCACUGGCCCAAUACUGACGCUGAGGCGCGAAAGCGUGGGGAGCAAACAGGAUUAGAUACCCCAGUAGUCC
This 425-nucleotide ribosomal RNA is filed under the name uncultured bacterium. RNAcentral's name for it is "partial 16S ribosomal RNA". It matches the Rfam family "Bacterial small subunit ribosomal RNA", at positions 354 to 796 of the family's 1533-position model. The record is from RNAcentral.